CUGCGAAUGGCUCAUUAAAUCAGUUAUCGUUUAUUUGAUAGUACCUUACUACAUGGAUAACCGUGGUAAUUCUAGAGCUAAUACAUGCUAAAAACCCCGACUUCGGRAGGGGUGUAUUUAUUAGAUAAAAAACCAAUGCCCUUCGGGGCUCCUUGGUGAUUCAURAUAACUYAACGAAUCGCAUGGCCUUGCGCCGGCGAUGGUUCAUUCAAAUUUCUGCCCUAUCAACUUUCGAUGGUAGGAUAGUGGCCUACCAUGGUAUCAACGGGUAACGGGGAAUUAGGGUUCUAUUCCGGAGAGGGAGCCUGAGAAACGGCUACCACAUCCAAGGAAGGCAGCAGGCGCGCAAAUUACCCAAUCCCGACRCGGGGAGGUAGUGACAAUAAAUACUGAUACAGGGCUCUUUUGGGUCUUGUAAUUGGAAUGAGUACAAUUUAAAUCCCUUAACGAGGAACAAUUGGAGGGCAAGUCUGGUGCCAGCAGCCGCGGUAAUUCCAGCUCCAAUAGCGUAUAUUAAAGUUGUUGCAGUUAAAAAGCUCGUAGUUGAACCUUGGGCCUGGCUGGCCGGUCCGCCUCACCGCGUGCACUGGUYCGGCCGGGCCUUUCCUUCUGGGGAGCCGCAUGCCCUUCACUGGGCGUGCCGGGGAACCAGGACUUUUACUUUGAAAAAAUUAGAGUGUUCAAAGCAGGCCUUUGCUCGAAUACAUUAGCA
This 712-nucleotide ribosomal RNA is filed under the name Lichenothelia muriformis. RNAcentral's name for it is "SSU rRNA". It matches the Rfam family "Eukaryotic small subunit ribosomal RNA", at positions 87 to 820 of the family's 1831-position model. Lineage: Eukaryota; Fungi; Ascomycota; Dothideomycetes; Lichenotheliales; Lichenotheliaceae. The record is from RNAcentral.